CUGCGGUGAAUACGUUCCCGGGCCUUGUACACACCGCCCGUCAAGCCAUGGAAGCUGGGGGUACCUGAAGUACGUAACCGCAAGGAGCGUCCUAGGGUAAAACCGGUAACUGGGGCU
RNAcentral lists this ribosomal RNA (117 nucleotides) under uncultured bacterium. Its description in RNAcentral is "partial 16S ribosomal RNA". It matches the Rfam family "Bacterial small subunit ribosomal RNA", at positions 1357 to 1482 of the family's 1533-position model. The record is from RNAcentral.